RNAcentral lists this ribosomal RNA (119 nucleotides) under uncultured bacterium. RNAcentral describes it as "partial 16S ribosomal RNA". It matches the Rfam family "Bacterial small subunit ribosomal RNA", at positions 1365 to 1482 of the family's 1533-position model. The record is from RNAcentral.
AAUACGUUCUCGGGCCUUGUACACACCGCCCGUCACACCACCCGAGUUGGUUUUUCCUAAAGCAGGUUACUCGAACCGCAAGGGCGAGGCUUGUAAAGGAGGAAUUGGUAAGGGGGGUG